GGGUUAAUGCCAGUGAGGGUCACUACUAUGCUCCCAUGGUUAAACAAGUAUGGUAACCGUGAGGAUGCCGUAAUUCUUCGGGACAGUUUCACUUGGGGCUUUAUGAUACCGUUUCAAAAUAGGGUGGUGGAGCAUCAUGCGCAUAAUCUAUGUUCGGUUAGUGACUUUCCUAAAGUCAUGCAUGACAAACUGCUUAAAGAAAUACAGUUGGGAUGGAUGGCGGGACCUUUUGUGGAUUUAAGAAUUUCACCCUUGGGUGUCGUGUCCAAGGAAGAAGCAGGUAUGUUCUGUUUGAUUCACCACCUUUCUUAACCUAAAGGGUCAUCAGUGAUGAUAUUGAUGGGGUGCUCUGUUCCGUGUCCUAUUCAUGAUUUGACCAAGCUGUUGAACUGGUUAAAAAGGCGGGUCCAGGUGCACUGUUGGCAACAGCUGAUGUGGAGUCGGCAUUCCGCCUGCUGCCCAUUCAUCUCGCGUGCCACUAUUUAUUAGGUUGCUUCUUUGAAGGCAAAUACUACAUUGAUUUCUGUCUGCCCAUGGGUUGCUCCAUCUCAUGUGCGUACUUUGAAAAAUUUUGCACCUUCCUAGAAUGGAUAGUCAAGAUGGAGGUGAGCACUAAGUUGGUGGUCCAUUACUUGGACAACUUCUUAUGCAUCGGUCCCUCUAAUUCCAAUGCUUGCAGGAUCAGUUUAAGAACACUGUAAUGGGUGGCUAAUGUUUGUGGGGUGCCACUGGCAGGGGACAAAACCGUGGGGGCCAUCGUGUUUGAGUUUCUUGGGGUUCGAAAUCGACAUCGUGGCAGGCAAAUGCCGCUUGUCACAAGAUAAAUUGGUUGCUCUUAGGGAACAUAUUGCAGAGGUGCAGGGAGCUAAGAAAGUGACAUUACGCAUGCUGCAGUCCUUAAUUGGGCGCUUAAAUUUCACUUGCCAGGUGAUCCCAGUGGGGAGGGUGUUCAAUAGAUUCUUGGCUAAAGCCACCGGUGGUGUACGGAUGCCAAGGCAUUUCAUCAGAGUGUCAGGAACCAUGAAGGAGGACAUAGGAAUUUGGGAACAUUUCUUGCGUGUGUUUAAUGGCCGGGUUUUCUUUUGGGAAAAAUCUGUCUCAUCGCCUGACUUGGAGCUGUUCACGGAUGCUUCAGGUAGUGUUGGUUUUGCGCGCCUUCAUUGCCAGCCAAUGGUGCGCUGAGUGAUGGCCUGCAUCUUGGGCGGCAAUCAUGCUCAUUCAGAACUUG
Molecule: non-coding RNA, 1228 nt
Organism: Pelobates cultripes (western spadefoot toad)
Lineage: Eukaryota; Metazoa; Chordata; Amphibia; Anura; Pelobatidae
Source: the annotation of a GenBank genome assembly